UACGAGGGGGGCAAGCGUUGUUCGGAAUUACUGGGCGUAAAGCGUGCGCAGGCGGUUUUGUAAGCCAGAUGUGAAAGCCCCGGGCUUAACCUGGGAAUGGCAUUUGGGACUGCAAGGCUUGAGUGCGGCAGAGGAGACUGGAAUUCCUGGUGUAGCAGUGAAAUGCGUAGAUAUCAGGAGGAAUACCGAUGGCGAAGGCAGGUCUCUGGGCUGACACUGACGCUCAUGCACGAAAGCGUGGGGAGCAAACAGG
Molecule: ribosomal RNA, 253 nt
Filed under: uncultured bacterium
Lineage: Bacteria
Description: partial 16S ribosomal RNA
Rfam family: Bacterial small subunit ribosomal RNA
Source: RNAcentral